GGAACGGUAUGGAAACUGGGCUCGAUCGUGAUCUGAAGGCGGUCUCGAAACCGUUACGCGUCGUUAGGCGUGUCGAGGGUUCAAAUCCCUCCCUCUCCG
Molecule: transfer RNA, 99 nt
Filed under: Cryobacterium sp.
Lineage: Bacteria; Bacillati; Actinomycetota; Actinomycetes; Micrococcales; Microbacteriaceae
Description: tRNA-OTHER
Source: RNAcentral